AUGCCACAAACAGAGAAGCACAAGUUGUUUGCUGCACAUCAGGAAGGGGCAAGGAAGGAUGUGGAACGUGCUUUUGGUGUUUUGCAGGGUCGAUUCUCUAUCUUGCGUCGUCCUGCACGUUUGUAUGACCGGGGUGAUAUCCAGAAGGUCAUGAUAGCUUGCAUCAUUCUUCACAAUAUGGUAGUCGAGGAUGAAAAAGAAGCGGCGGCUAAUAUUCUUGAUUUGAACAAGGAGGCGGGUACAUCCAUUGUUCUACCAUCAGUAUUCACACACGGCGACAUACCGGUAUUCGCCCAGGUGCUACAAAGAGAUGCAAGAAUCCGAGAUCGUGGGACUCACAGAGCACUCAAAACUGAUUUGGUAGAGCAUAUUUGGAAAAAGUUUGGGCCAAAAUAG
Molecule: ribosomal RNA, 396 nt
Filed under: Triticum aestivum (bread wheat)
Lineage: Eukaryota; Viridiplantae; Streptophyta; Magnoliopsida; Poales; Poaceae
Description: partial small subunit ribosomal RNA
Source: RNAcentral